UACGGGGGAUGCGAGCGUUGUCCGGAUUCACUGGGCGUAAAGGGCGCGUAGGCGGCCCGGUCAGUCGGCGCUCUAAGUGCGGGGCUCAACCCCGUGAUGGCGCCGGGACGGCCGGGCUGGGGCGCGGCAGAGGGAGACGGAAUGCCGGGUGUAGUGGUGAAAUGCGUAGAGAUCCGGCGGAACACCGGUGGCGAAGGCGGUCUCCUGGGCCGAGGGCCGACGCUGAGGCGCGAGAUCGUGGGGAGCGAACCGG
Molecule: ribosomal RNA, 253 nt
Filed under: uncultured bacterium
Lineage: Bacteria
Description: partial 16S ribosomal RNA
Rfam family: Bacterial small subunit ribosomal RNA
Source: RNAcentral